GUCCAAGGUUUUAAUAUGUUUUCAUUUUAGAUUUAAGUUUUUAAUCCUGCCUUUGCCUCCCAAAGUGCUGGGAUUACAAGCGUGAGCUACCACACCCAGCGAGGAAGCCAAGUUUAACGUGUGUGCUCCACUCCUCCAACCUGGCCAAAGGGCAGUCAUCAUCACUGGCCACUGCUGACCACAGCCUUUAGAAACUCCCCUUGAACGUGCUGGGCUGACCUUCCUCUGAUCACAGGCAAGGUUGUAGAUGAGCAUGAGAGUGUGGAGCAGAGUUGGCGAGUGCAAGUCGAGCCCAUCAACCUGGACAGCUGUCUCCGUGCUUUCACCAGUGAGGAAGAGCUAGGGGAAGAUGAGAUAUACUACUGUUCCAAGUGUAAGACCCACUGCUUUAGCAACAAAGAAGCUGGAUCUCUGGAGGCUUCCACCCUUCCUGAUUAUUCACCUUAAGCGAUUUCAAUUUGUAAAUGAUCAGUGGAUAAAAUCACAGAAAAUUGUCAAAUUUCCUCGGGAAAGUUUUGAUCCGAGUGCUUUUUUGGUACCACGAGACCCGGCUCUCUGCCAGCAUCAACCACUCACACCCCAGGGGGAUGAGCUCUCCAAGCCCAGGAUUCUGGCAA
This 617-nucleotide long non-coding RNA is filed under the name Homo sapiens (human). Its description in RNAcentral is "non-protein coding lnc-TBC1D28-7:15". The record is from RNAcentral. Lineage: Eukaryota; Metazoa; Chordata; Mammalia; Primates; Hominidae.